GUAUAAAGCUUACACGUAUUUUGUAUAAUUUAGGGAAAUAAAAAUAAGCAAACCGAUUAUGAAGAGUAUGAAAAAGAAAGAAGGGUUCAUUUUCAUGGAAGAUGAUGGCGACAACAAUUCAAAGGUUUUGUUUGGACUUGGCGAUUUCUUGUGGAAAAAGGAAUCGAUUUCUCAGUGAUUCUGCGUCUUCAGCUCUUCCAAACUUAGUCACUUUCAACUCUCUGUCCUUCUCUGCUGCCCUCUCGCUGAGCGUCGUUCCCAAUAUCAAAGGAUCGUUGUCACAGAGGGCUCGGGAGAGAUCAAUUCGCUAUGAAUCCGUAAUUUGCAUGGCCAAAAGAUAUGCUCCUGACACUACAAAGAGAAAGAGGUUAAGUAGGAAAAGGGGUGGUGAUCCAGCCAAGAAAAAGAAGACAAGGAGGAAAGGGGGAAAGAAAGAUUUCAAAAUAGUCAGACUCUCCUCGACUGCUAGGACUGGUUUUUUUUAUGCCAAGAAGAAAAGCAGGAAGAUGGCUGAUAAGGUUGAGCUCAAGAAAUAUGACCCUAUUGCAAAUCGCCAUGUUCUGUUCAUUGAAGUCAAGUGAGUCAGAUUGUUCUCUGUGAUGGAUAUAUGUGAUAGAUAGAUACACAGCUGGAUGGAUGGAAGAUAGAAGAAAAGGCAGAGAAAAAGAGGAAAGGUUGAGAGUGGAGUUGGAAAAGUUGGGAGCGCAGCGCAAGGACCGAUGUGAGUUUUUCUAUUCUUCACGCCUGCUCCAUCUUUCAUGCACGUGUUCACACCAAUUAUUUCCCUUCUAAUCUUCUUUGUGGUUAAUUUUAGUUAUGCUACUUUAUAAUAAUACUAAUAAUAAUAUUUCAGGUAA
Molecule: RNA transcript, 857 nt
Organism: Benincasa hispida (wax gourd)
Lineage: Eukaryota; Viridiplantae; Streptophyta; Magnoliopsida; Cucurbitales; Cucurbitaceae
Source: RefSeq, a predicted model, not a curated record